GCAUUGGUGGUUCCGUGGCAGAAUCUUGGCCUUUUACUCAGGAGACCCGGGUUCAAUUCCUGGCCAACGCG
This 71-nucleotide transfer RNA is filed under the name Loxodonta africana (African savanna elephant). It matches the Rfam family "tRNA". Rfam says of the family: Transfer RNA (tRNA) molecules are approximately 80 nucleotides in length. Lineage: Eukaryota; Metazoa; Chordata; Mammalia; Proboscidea; Elephantidae. The record is from Rfam by way of RNAcentral.